Molecule: ribosomal RNA, 484 nt
Filed under: uncultured bacterium
Lineage: Bacteria
Description: partial 16S ribosomal RNA
Rfam family: Bacterial small subunit ribosomal RNA
Source: RNAcentral
AUUGAACGCUGGCGGCAGGCCUAACACAUGCAAGUCGAGCGGAUGAAGGGAGCUUGCUCCUGGAUUCAGCGGCGGACGGGUGAGUAAUGCCUAGGAAUCUGCCUGGUAGUGGGGGAUAACGUCCGGAAACGGGCGCUAAUACCGCAUACGUCCUGAUGGAGAAAGUGGGGGAUCUUCGGACCUCACGCUAUCAGAUGAGCCUAGUUCGGAUUAGCUAGUUGGUGGGGUAAAGGCCUACCAAGGCGACGAUCCGUAACUGGUCUGAGAGGAUGAUCAGUCACACUGGAACUGAGACACGGUCCAGACUCCUACGGGAGGCAGCAGUGGGGAAUAUUGGACAAUGGGCGAAAGCAUGAUCCAGCAAUGCCGCGUGUGUGAAGAAGGUCUUCGGAUUGUAAAGCACUUUAAGUUGGGAGGAAGGGCAGUAAGUUAAUACCUUGCUGUUUUGACGUUACCAACAGAAUAAGCACCGGCUAACUUCGUG